RNAcentral lists this long non-coding RNA (924 nucleotides) under Carica papaya (papaya). RNAcentral's name for it is "long non-coding RNA (CPAP_LNC015037)". The record is from RNAcentral. Lineage: Eukaryota; Viridiplantae; Streptophyta; Magnoliopsida; Brassicales; Caricaceae.
UUAUUGUAUUUUUAAACAAAUUAUUUUUCAAAAAUGAAAAAAAAAAUCUAUCACUUACUUAUUAAUUUACAAAAUGUUUUGACAUCAACAAAUUAAUAAAAAAUAAAUAUUCGUAUUUUACUAAUGAUAAAAUUAUUAUUAUUAUUAUUAUUAUUUUAAUGGCCUUUAUUUUAUUUUUUUAUUUUUUUAAUUUUUAUUAUUGAACGGACAAGAUUAAAAGUAAAUCUUACAAGUAGAAUCAGAAGCUCUGCUCUGUAAAACCGACAGAGGACCACAGGCCGCUGCUGGGGACUGCCAAUUGCCAAAUCCAAGCAGGGAGCAGCUAUAAGAAUAAGAGGGGAGCUAGGAGGCGAUUGCAGGUGAAGCGGAGGCGAUUUUGAGGGUGGAAUUUAGGGGUUUUCCGGUGAUUGAGAACAAAAAAGGUCGAAAGAGCAGAGCUCGAGAGGAGAGAGGAAUCAAAGGGGAGACGAUUGACAAAGAAGGAAAACCAGAGGAGGCUCUCAGCUUACGGUGAGUCCUCCAUCGCUUUCUUUUGUAAACAGAGCAGAGAGAGAGUCUAGGAGGUUUUGGAGAGAGUUUUUGAGGGGUGUUAUAAUUUCUUAGCAAGUUAAUCAAUUUCUAUUCGGAUAUAAGAUAUUUGAGGAAGUGAUAGAAAUAUCCCAUAGUGGUUUUUACUUUUUUUUGGUUCCUAUGAUAGAACUAACACCGUUGAUUGGAGAAAUUUAUCUUGUGAUUUUCAGUUUAGGGAGUUUAACACAUUAUAAAACUGAAUUACUAAACCUAACGUUGGUUUGGGAUCUGGGUGCAUUUGUAUUUUAAUCUUUUUAGGAUAUUUUUCUGCUUAUACUUCAUAUGACGAUUUGAGUUUGCUGGCUUAGUUUUUAACGUGAUUACAUCUUAGUCGUUUACUUGUUUUUAAUUGCU